This 196-nucleotide ribosomal RNA is filed under the name uncultured Acidobacteriota bacterium. Its description in RNAcentral is "uncultured Acidobacteria bacterium partial 16S ribosomal RNA". It matches the Rfam family "Bacterial small subunit ribosomal RNA", at positions 337 to 524 of the family's 1533-position model. Lineage: Bacteria; Pseudomonadati; Acidobacteriota. The record is from RNAcentral.
UCCUACGGGAGGCAGCAGUGGGGAAUUGUUCGCAAUGGGCGCAAGCCUGACGACGCAACGCCGCGUGGAGGAUGAAGAUCUUCGGGUCGUAAACUCCUGUCGACCGGGACGAAAUUCUCGGGAGCUAACAUCUCCCGGGAUUGACGGUACCGGUGGAGGAAGCCCCGGCUAACUCCGUGCCAGCAGCCGCGGUAAU